This is a long non-coding RNA of Teleopsis dalmanni, 296 nucleotides long. RefSeq lists it as uncharacterized. The record is from RefSeq and is a predicted model, not a curated record. Lineage: Eukaryota; Metazoa; Arthropoda; Insecta; Diptera; Diopsidae. The transcript has 3 exons.
AUGCAGUCAUUCUAAAGCAAGGGUAAAAUGCAGUCAGCUGCUUCAAUUGGAAAAUUUUACAAUUCAAACUGAGGAGGAUUUAAUUCAAUUUAAUGAAGAAAUCACUGCCGUUGAAGUAGUUGCUGCAUCAAUAAGACGCGUUAUGUUAUUGACAAACAACUAAUUACCCGAAAAAUUGCGUGGAAUUUUGGAGAAAGUAUACUCAUAACUAAUGUUGCUUUAAGGACAAAUGGUACGCCGGAACAAGUGAUCGAGUCGAGUCUGGAAAUCUCUUCAAGGUUCUAAUAACAAUUUCA